UCGAUGUCGACUCAUCGCAUCCUGGGGCUGAAGUAGGUCCCAAGGGUUGGGCUGUUCGCCCAUUAAAGCGGUACGAGAGUUGGGUUCAGAACGUCGUGAGACAGUUCGGUCCCUAUCUGUCGUGGGCGCAGGAGACUUGAGAGGAGCUGUCCUUAGUACGAGAGGACCAGGAUGGACGGACCUCUGGUGUGUGGGUUGUUCUGCCAAGAGCAGCGCCCAGUAGCUAUGUUCGGAUGGGAUAACCGCUGAAAGCAUCUAAGUGGGAAACCCGCCUCAAGAUUAGGUCUCCCUCCCGAGAAAUCGGGACUAAAGGUCUGUGGUAGACUACCACUUUGAUAGGCUGGGUGUGUAAGUCCGGUAACGGAUUGAGCUAACCAGUACUAAUAGACCGUGUGCCUUGAUCCACC
This 407-nucleotide ribosomal RNA is filed under the name Nitrospirota bacterium. Its description in RNAcentral is "Nitrospirae bacterium (groundwater metagenome) partial 23S ribosomal RNA". It matches the Rfam family "Bacterial large subunit ribosomal RNA", at positions 2526 to 2925 of the family's 2925-position model. Lineage: Bacteria; Pseudomonadati; Nitrospirota. The record is from RNAcentral.